UUCAAAAGAACCGAUAUCGUCUUCUUCUCCAACCCUAAUGGACUGAUCCAUUUUUCUCGUCCAACGAGUAAAUUCAAUUGUUGAAUCGACACGAGGAAUUCAAAUUUCCACCCGUUAUAUAUAUACCCAAUUCACUCAAUUUCUUUACUCAUUUUUUAGUUUCUUUGUUAAUUUCCUCUUUUUAUUCGUCCUUUAAACCCUGCAACUUUGAAAACUUGAAUUUCUCAAACCCCAUUUGGUGAUAACUGUGGCAGCAUCUUCCUCUUUCACAAGGAAACAGUGAUAUUGAUCAGCUAGGGAAGAUUUUUGCGACCUUUGGGACCCCAAAGCCUUCACAGCGGCAUGAUAUGAUGGUCUACUUGCCGGAUUAUGUUGAUUACCAAUAUGUCCCUGGCCAGCUAUUCAAAACACUUUUUCCAACUGCUACUGAUGAUUGCCUGGAUCUUCUGUUCGUAAUUGACGGUGCUUUUAUCAUCCUCCGAAAUUUGACGUCCUCCCCUAUAUGCAUUUGUUUGUCUUGGUUUGGUGGAUAUUUGAUCAGCUCAAAUUUUAGCUUAACUACUUGUGAUUGAUUUUCUCCUUUGCUUCUGUAAGUUUAAUUUUAAUUGUUGUUAUGCCUCUUAUGUUUGCAUUGUUAAGAAAAUUUAGGUAGUAAACUUGUCACUUCAAAAUGAAUUUGAUUGCUACUUUCUUUACUCAUCAUGUGGGAUGCAUCUUUUGACAUUAAUUGCUCUAAUGGCUAUGCAACAUCUUAAUUUCUCAUCUUGAUUAAGAGUAAUUUGCUUAAGACUAGAUAGUGACUAUUUAGUAGGUUAAAGAAUUAUUAUUUGAGUCUUAAGUUUGGUUGGUAAUAAUUUUAGUUGUUUUGUUUGCCUACUGAUAGCCUAAAUAUACAACCUUGUGAGUAGUCUUUUUUUUAAGCUUAGGUUGACUUGCUCCCUGCCAUGAUCAUCAUGUAUGAGCUAUUUUGUUCUCUUUUUUAAUGUUCAAGAUUUGAAACAGUAUCAUAUGCGUUUAUCUCUUUUGAUUGUUACACAUGAAAAACUCUUCUCUUAAAUGAUAUGUUGGAUGAACUCAAGAAUGUACACAAAUGCAAACCAUUCCUGUUACAAGUACAAAUUCUUCUAAGAUAUGUGUAGACACCAACCUCCUCAUACUCUACUUGUAGAAGUAUACUCAACAUAUUUGUGUUGUUCUCCACAUCUCCUCUCUCAUAUCAAUUUAUUUUUCAAGAUGUAAGUCAGAAUUCUUCUUAAAUUUAUGUGAAUAUUUCAAUUCAAGGCUAGCAUCCCUUCAUUUCAUCCCUUUUCGGUUAGAAACCCCUUGGUUAAAUCUUCCCUGUUUGAUUGUUUUCCUUUUUUACUUGAGGUAAGUUUAGUUAGCUCGUUUUGUCGAUACAUUUUAUAAGGGUUACUAUUUGUCUGGUUUGGGUACUUGAAUCUGAGGCUACGUCAAUGACCAAGUUUUUAUGGACUAUCGUAUGAUAUUGAAUUAGACAUUAUCUCCUGAACUGUAGCCAGUGGCUAUGUCUUAUGAUUUGUUGAAUAUUAAAGUCAGCCUAUUUUUCUUUUUUAAUCUCAAUCUAAUUUGUAUUAGCCUAAGUUAUAGUUUAUAUUGCGUUUCUUGUGAUUCAUUAUAGUGUAUCUCACUGUAAUUAAUAUGUGAGCAACAAAUACUUAGUUUUAAAAAUCCUUUCAAUCAUUCUAAUCUAAUAUCGUUUUAUUUUCCUUGCAUGUGAUACCAAUUCGAGUCCACUUUUGGACUAAUUCCUUGCAUUUCAUCGAGUUGAAUUCCUUUGAGUCAGCCCCAUCGGUGUUCAAGUGAAAGGAAAGCUGAAAUACAAGGCAAACGAAAGCAAAAAAUGCAGGGAAAGGGGCUGCUAAACAAUCAUGUAUACACUGAUAUACAGUUUUGUAUACGCUGAAAAGAGGCCCAAAUCAGCAGCAAUUUAGGCCCAAAGAGGCUGCUUUUAGGUCCAAAAGGCCCAAACUCAUUCUCUCUCUCCCAUAUGUAGUAAUUCAAAAAAAAAUUGAAAAAUUUUCAUCAAAUUAUUUUACAAAAACUUUUUUAUAA
This is a long non-coding RNA of Solanum tuberosum (potato), 2073 nucleotides long. RefSeq lists it as uncharacterized. The transcript is spliced from 2 exons. The record is from RefSeq and is a predicted model, not a curated record. NCBI's taxonomy places the organism in Eukaryota, Viridiplantae, Streptophyta, Magnoliopsida, Solanales, Solanaceae.